AUGCAAGUCGUACGAGAGCUUUUAGCUCUAGUGGCGGACGGGUGAGUAACACGUGAGAAUCUGCCCUUAGGAGGAGGAUAACAGCUGGAAACGGUUGCUAAUACUCCAUAUGCCGAGAGGUGAAAGGAUUUAUCCACCUAAGGAGGAGCUCGCGUCUGAUUAGCUAGUUGGUAGGGUAAUAGCCUACCAAGGCGACGAUCAGUAGCUGGUUUGAGAGGAUGAUCAGCCACACUGGGACUGAGACACGGCCCAGACUCC
Molecule: ribosomal RNA, 258 nt
Filed under: unidentified marine bacterioplankton
Lineage: Bacteria
Also listed under: 1 other name
Description: partial 16S ribosomal RNA
Rfam family: Bacterial small subunit ribosomal RNA
Source: RNAcentral